Empidonax traillii (willow flycatcher) is the source of this 369-nucleotide long non-coding RNA. RefSeq lists it as uncharacterized. Lineage: Eukaryota; Metazoa; Chordata; Aves; Passeriformes; Tyrannidae. The record is from RefSeq and is a predicted model, not a curated record. The transcript is spliced from 3 exons.
UGGCCGGGGGCGGCAGCCCAACAGCAUCCCGUCCAUCAGAAACGAGCAGUAAUUGCGUUUCCAUGGCUUUGCUCUCCCGUGGAGGAGCACUGGUGUGGGUGAAUCUAAAUGCUUCCACAAGCACUGCUUCCAUCAGUCAGGAGAGCUGGAUAUAGAGCAAAAGGAGAGAAAAGGAAGGAAAAACAGCUGGUUAUGGCUGUUUAGAAUAUGUUUGUGCAUAUGUGUCUCCUUUUCCAAACACUUUGGGAAGAAACAGUCUGCAACUGAAGUCGCAUCAAAAGUCUGAUUCAGAGCGCCUAAUCAGAAAUUAAGAACUCUCUAGCUUCAUGGCUGGGUGAACAAAGACCUUUCAAGAACAUUUCUCUGCUC